This 84-nucleotide transfer RNA is filed under the name Gemmatimonadota bacterium. RNAcentral's name for it is "Gemmatimonadetes bacterium (activated sludge metagenome) tRNA-Tyr". It matches the Rfam family "tRNA". From Rfam's summary of the family: Transfer RNA (tRNA) molecules are approximately 80 nucleotides in length. Their secondary structure includes four short double-helical elements and three loops (D, anti-codon, and T loops). RNAcentral also lists the same sequence under 2 other names. The record is from RNAcentral. Lineage: Bacteria; Pseudomonadati; Gemmatimonadota.
GGUGGGGUGGCCGAGUGGCUAAUGGCAGCAGACUGUAAAUCUGCCGGGCUACGCCCUACGUAGGUUCGAAUCCUACCCCCACCA